UACGUAGGGGGCUAGCGUUGUCCGGAAUCAUUGGGCGUAAAGAGCGUGUAGGCGGCCCGGUAAGUCCGCUGUGAAAGUCGGGGGCUCAACCCUCGAAUGCCGGUGGAUACUGUCGGGCUAGAGUGCGGAAGAGGCGAGUGGAAUUCCUGGUGUAGCGGUGAAAUGCGCAGAUAUCAGGAAGAACACCCGUGGCGAAGGCGGCUCUCUGGUACGUGACUGACGCUGAGACGCGAAAGCGUGGGGAGCGAACAGG
Molecule: ribosomal RNA, 253 nt
Filed under: uncultured bacterium
Lineage: Bacteria
Description: partial 16S ribosomal RNA
Rfam family: Bacterial small subunit ribosomal RNA
Source: RNAcentral